UUGGCACCUCGAUGUCGGCUCAUCACAUCCUGGGGCUGAAGUAGGUCCCAAGGGUAUGGCUGUUCGCCAUUUAAAGUGGUACGCGAGCUGGGUUUAGAAACGUCGUGAGACAGUUCGGUCCCUAUCUGCCGUGGGCGCUGGAGAAUUGAGGGGGGCUGCUCCUAGUACGAGAGGACCGGAGUGGACGCAUCACUGGUGUUCGGGUUGUCAUGCCAAUGGCA
This 221-nucleotide ribosomal RNA is filed under the name Klebsiella pneumoniae. RNAcentral describes it as "partial 23S ribosomal RNA". It matches the Rfam family "Bacterial large subunit ribosomal RNA", at positions 2518 to 2737 of the family's 2925-position model. The record is from RNAcentral. Lineage: Bacteria; Pseudomonadati; Pseudomonadota; Gammaproteobacteria; Enterobacterales; Enterobacteriaceae.